AAAAUAAAAAAAAAAAACACUUUAUUUCAAGCACCAAGAGUGACCCAAAAAAGGAGGAGUUUAAUGUAUUUUCAUGGAAGAAAAAUAGAUGAUAAAAACUGUAUAAAUAUUGUGUAGCAUUAUAAAAUCUCCUCAAAAUUCAAAAUAAAAAAACUAAAAAUAUUGUUGAAUAAAAGUGUAUUACUUUAAUCUUCCUAAAAAAUCAAAAAACACUUAAUUUCAAGCACCAAGUGUGACCCAAAAAUGAACAGUUUAAUUUAUUUUCAUUGAAGAUAAAUAGAUGAUAAAAACUGUAUAAAUAUUUCAUGCUAUCAUAAAAUCGCCUAAAAAUUCAAGAUAAAAAACUAAAAAUAUUUCUGAAUAACAAAAUGUAUACAAUAAUUUUCUU
This is a long non-coding RNA of Carassius gibelio (silver crucian carp), 388 nucleotides long. RefSeq lists it as uncharacterized. The transcript is spliced from 2 exons. The record is from RefSeq and is a predicted model, not a curated record. Lineage: Eukaryota; Metazoa; Chordata; Actinopteri; Cypriniformes; Cyprinidae.